Molecule: ribosomal RNA, 427 nt
Filed under: uncultured Bordetella sp.
Lineage: Bacteria; Pseudomonadati; Pseudomonadota; Betaproteobacteria; Burkholderiales; Alcaligenaceae
Description: bacterial SSU rRNA
Rfam family: Bacterial small subunit ribosomal RNA
Source: RNAcentral
UGGGGAAUUUUGGACAAUGGGGGCAACCCUGAUCCAGCCAUCCCGCGUGUGCGAUGAAGGCCUUCGGGUUGUAAAGCACUUUUGGCAGGAAAGAAACGGCCCUGGUUAAUACCUGGGGCAACUGACGGUACCUGCAGAAUAAGCACUGGCUAACUACGUGCCAGCAGCCGCGGUAAUACGUAGGGUGCAAGCGUUAAUCGGAAUUACUGGGCGUAAAGCGUGCGCAGGCGGUUCGGAAAGAAAGAUGUGAAAUCCCAGGGCUUAACCUUGGAACUGCAUUUUUAACUACCGGGCUAGAGUGUGUCAGAGGGAGGUGGAAUUCCGCGUGUAGCAGUGAAAUGCGUAGAGAUGCGGAGGAACACCGAUGGCGAAGGCAGCCUCCUGGGAUAACACUGACGCUCAUGCACGAAAGCGUGGGGAGCAAACA